RNAcentral lists this ribosomal RNA (1437 nucleotides) under Triticum aestivum (bread wheat). Its description in RNAcentral is "partial small subunit ribosomal RNA". Lineage: Eukaryota; Viridiplantae; Streptophyta; Magnoliopsida; Poales; Poaceae. The record is from RNAcentral.
AUGGACGAUGCGGCGGCGGCUGCCGCAUCCAAGAAGCGGAGGCGGGAUCUGCCAGCACUUGGGGAUCCUCCCGCCAGCAGGGAGGGUGCCGGCGGCGGAGACGAUGCGAGCCUCGACCUCAUCAGCCGUCUCCCCGACGAGAUCCUCGGCACCAUCAUCUCCCUGCUCCCCGGCACCAAGGACGGCGCGCGGACAGCCAUCCUCUCCUCCCGGUGGCGCCACCUCUGGCGCUCCGCGCCCCUCAACCUCGCCGUCGACGACGCCCUCUCCUCGCAGGAGAGCGAGCGCAUCGCCGUCGUCUCCGAGAUCCUCGCCGCGCACCCUGGCCCCGCCCGCCGCCUCUGCAUCUCUAGCAUCUUUCUCGGCGGCCACCAUCACGCCAGGUUCGACGGCUGGUUCCGGUCCCCCGCCCUCGGCGGCCUCGAGGAGCUCGAGUUCUACCGGGGCAACAGCAGGCGCGCGCUGCCUCCUUCCGUGCUCCACUUCGCGCCCACGCUGCGCGUUGCCAGCAUCGGCCGCUGCAAUUUAUCCGUGAUUGAAGCCGCCCCCGUGCUUGCCUUCCCUCGGCUGAAGCAGCUCAACCUCUCCGGCGUCGCCGUCUCGGAGCCGGCCCUCCUCCGCCUGCUAGCCGCCUGCGCCGUGCUUGAGAGCCUUGAGCUUAUGGGCAUCCGUGGGCUCAGCACCGCCCGGAUCGUCUCGCCGACUCUCCGAAGUAUUGGUGUCUCUGUUGGUCACUAUGAGGAGCUGCCGGAGGAGCUUGUCAUUGAGGAUGCACCAUGCCUUGAAAGAUUGAUAUCAUUUGGUUGCAAUGGUCCAAGGACAAUCAGGGUGAUCGCGGCACCGAAACUGACGGUGUUGGGCUAUCCGUCUUGCCGUUUCUACGAACUUGUGAUGGGCCUGGGAACCAUAAUUGUUAAGGAAAUGAUCCCCAUCAGCUUGGCUGUGUCGGUGCGCACAGUGAAGGUCUUGGUUCUAGAAUCUAUUGGCCCCAAUCUGGACGUAGUUGUUGGAUUCCUUAGAUGUUUUCCCUGCGUGGAGAAGCUAUACAUCCAGUCAUGUCUUAGGAAGGAUAUGAAAAAUGUGGGGCAAUAUGGCACGCUCGAUCCUAUCGAAUGCCUUGAACUCAAUCUCAAAGCAAUAGUAUUGAACACCUACGAAGGCAAGACACCAGAUGUUGACUUUGCCAAGUUCUUUGUUCUGAAUGCAAAGGUACUCGAGGUAAUGAAAUUUGGAGUCUAUCGUAAUAGCUGCAAUCAGAAGUGGGUGGCUAAUCAGCACAUGCGGCUACAACUGGAUAACAGAGCUUCUAGAGAUGCACGAUUUGAUUUUGAACGAGAUUAUGGUAAUUCCCGUUUUUAUUAUAAGAAGCACAUGCAUGAUAUGUGGAUAGCUGAUCCCUUUGAUAGGUCAUUAUGCAAAUUCUGUCGGAAGGUUUGA